AGAUCUGUGGCAUCCAGAAUCUAAUUAUUUAUUCUCUACCUAAGAGGAAAGAAUUUUACCCUGAGGUUCUCAAUAUGCUUGAAGGAUCUCGUGACAUGACUUCUACUGUACUCUUUUCGAGAUUUGAUCAGCUGAGGCUCGAGAGGAUUGUUGGAAGCGCUGCAGCAAAGAAGAUGACAUCAUCGGAGAAGGGCCUCUUUAUCUUUAAAUGAUAGAAUUUUGCUUGCUUGUUUUAUGAACUAAUAGC
This is a long non-coding RNA of Spinacia oleracea (spinach), 247 nucleotides long. RefSeq lists it as uncharacterized. Lineage: Eukaryota; Viridiplantae; Streptophyta; Magnoliopsida; Caryophyllales; Amaranthaceae. The record is from RefSeq and is a predicted model, not a curated record. The transcript is spliced from 3 exons.